This 595-nucleotide ribosomal RNA is filed under the name uncultured Bacteroidota bacterium. RNAcentral's name for it is "bacterial SSU rRNA". It matches the Rfam family "Bacterial small subunit ribosomal RNA", at positions 122 to 715 of the family's 1533-position model. Lineage: Bacteria; Pseudomonadati; Bacteroidota. The record is from RNAcentral.
CAACCUGCCCACCACUUGGGGAUAACCUUGCGAAAGUAAGACUAAUACCCAAUGAUAUCUCUANNAGACAUCUGAAAGAGAUUAAAGAUUUAUCGGUGAUGGAUGGGGAUGCGUCUGAUUAGCUUGUUGGCGGGGUAACGGCCCACCAAGGCGACGAUCAGUAGGGGUUCUGAGAGGAAGGUCCCCCACAUUGGAACUGAGACACGGUCCAAACUCCUACGGGAGGCAGCAGUGAGGAAUAUUGGUCAAUGGGCGAGAGCCUGAACCAGCCAAGCAGCGUGCAGGAUGACGGCCCUAUGGGUUGUAAACUGCUUUUAUAAGGGAAUAAAGUGAGUCUCGUGAGACUUUUUGCAUGUACCUUAUGAAUAAGGACCGGCUAAUUCCGUGCCAGCAGCCGCGGUAAUACGGAAGGUCCGGGCGUUAUCCGGAUUUAUUGGGUUUAAAGGGAGCGUAGGCCGGAGAUUAAGCGUGUUGUGAAAUGUAGACGCUCAACGUCUGCACUGCAGCGCGAACUGGUUUCCUUGAGUACGCACAAAGUGGGCGGAAUUCGUGGUGUAGCGGUGAAAUGCUUAGAUAUCACGAAGAACUCCGAUUG